This 1077-nucleotide long non-coding RNA is filed under the name Parus major (Great Tit). RNAcentral's name for it is "lncRNA (ENSPMJG00000004752.1)". The record is from RNAcentral. Lineage: Eukaryota; Metazoa; Chordata; Aves; Passeriformes; Paridae.
AUGGAGAGUUUAGGCAAAGACCAUGCUUCUUUGGACUCUUCCCUGCCACCCUCUGCAGCCUGUGAGGAGUAUGCUGUGCCAGAUGUCAUCAUAACCCGUCGCUUGAGAGACCGGGAGCUGCUCAGGAAAAGAAAAGCAGAAGCCCUGGAGAAAGAUUCAGCUCACUGGGUUCUGAGAGACUAUAAGACCGAACAGCAAAGGAGAGCCAGAAGAGCCAAAAGAGGACGGGGCCGUCAGGCAGUGGUCAAGGCUGUCCUGGAGACAGAGCCAGCAGUGGACACCCAGCCUGACCCACAGGAGAAGGCUGAGCCUGUGCCUUCUGAGACAGUGCCUUCUGAGCCAGCACUGCCUGAACCAGUGUAUCAACAGCAGCCACCUAUGCUGACCAUCCAGAACAUGGUUGGUGGGAUGCAAGCAGUGGCAACGGAAGGGGAGCUGGCAGACGGGAGCUUGGACCCUGCUGGUGAGGAGGAUGUGCUGAAACCAGCAGAAGCAGAUAUACUGGAAGAGUUGAAUACUCCUCUGGGAAAGGACCACCAGGACAACGAAUUUAACGCACAUAUUCUGUAUUAACUUUCUGAUUACUUGGGGAUAUUUUUUAUUUUGACUCUUGCCUCACCAACUUGAUAAGUAUGGCAAGUGAUUUUGAGCAGCUGCUUUCUUGGGAAUCAUAAAGCCCAUACUCUCCUUGUCACUCUGCUUUCUGUGCUUCUUCCAGGCUAAGAAGGCAGCCUCUAGGGAGCUGCCUGUGGCUUAUGAGCCCCCCGCUCUCUCUGCAAACAGGCUGUUUUACUUGGGCCCAUGGAAGGCUUCACGCUGCUCUGCUAUGCUACAGUUCAGUCCUACAGCCCAGCAUUCAUCUGUGUUCCUGAAAGUCAUUUCUUAUUUGUGUGAGUGGCAUUGCAGAGCUAGCACCCACUGUGAUUUUCAGCCAACUGGAGAAGCCCAGCUUGGGCUUUUUACUGCACCCUAUAAACCCCACCACCCUUUGCACCAUUAUUUUUAGUCUGAAAGUUUUCCUCAUAGCCUGUUUUCCUCUGCAAUAAACAUCUUGCUUUCCUAAAGCUGGAAAUAUUU